This 453-nucleotide unclassified non-coding RNA is filed under the name Hevea brasiliensis (rubber tree). The record is from RNAcentral. Lineage: Eukaryota; Viridiplantae; Streptophyta; Magnoliopsida; Malpighiales; Euphorbiaceae.
AAACAUUUCCCCACCACACAUGGAACCGGCAAUAUAAUUGCUUCCUUCUGCCAUUUCUCUUUCAGUUGUCCAUAGUUUUUUAGCCACUUUUACUGCCUUUUAGUAUUGAUGAACGAUAGGUUCAGAUUAAAAGGCCAGUUUCCUCGAAGAAAUAAUAUGAUAUCCUUAUUUUGGCUCAAAUACAAUGCAAAGCAUCAAGCACACCAGGCUUGAAGCUUGUUUAAUAUAUAGAACUCCAUAAAAUUUUAUGGAAUCAUUUUUAAAUCCACUCUUGCUAUAUGUUUCAUGUAUAUGUACAAUAAUUUGUUUGGAACUUUGCAUUUUGAUGCUAUGAAAUUGUUUGUUCUUGAGCAGAAUUCUACUAAUCACCAUACAUGAGAAAAUAUUUUGAACUCCAUUGGCAUAGGUGUUCAUCUAAAAAUAAAGAUAGAUUCGGAUUUGUGUUUAAAGAGA